AUUGAACGCUGGCGGCAUGCCUUACACAUGCAAGUCGAACGGUAACGCGGGGGCAACCCUGGCGACGAGUGGCGAACGGGUGAGUAAUACAUCGGAACAUAUCCAGUAGCGGGGGAUAACCUAUCGAAAGAUUGGCUAAUACCGCAUACGAUCUACGGAUGAAAGCGGGGGACCGCAAGGCCUCGCACUAUUGGAGUGGCCGAUGUCAGAUUAGCUAGUUGGUGGGGUGAAAGCCUACCAAGGCGACGAUCUGUAGCUGGUCUGAGGGGACGAUCAGCCACACUGGAACGGAGACACGGGCCAGACUCCUAGGGGAGGCAGCAGUGGGGAAUUUUGGACAAUGGGCGCAAGCCUGAUCCAGCCAUGCCGCGUGAGUGAAGAAGGCCUUCGGGUUGUAAAGCUCUUUCGGUGAAGACGAAACGGUUAGUGUUAAUAACACUGACUAAUGACGGUACCGUAAGAAUAAGCACCGGCUAACUACGUGCCAGCCGCCGCCGUAA
RNAcentral lists this ribosomal RNA (500 nucleotides) under uncultured bacterium. Its description in RNAcentral is "partial 16S ribosomal RNA". It matches the Rfam family "Bacterial small subunit ribosomal RNA", at positions 30 to 523 of the family's 1533-position model. The record is from RNAcentral.